CCUUGGCUCCUCUCCGUAAGUGGUAACCAUUUUAGGAACGGGAGCCAUUUUAGAAUGUAGGACCGUUGGUUCCAUUUUGUCUGGUAGAGAACUCUAUCAGUUGGAAACUCUGUGUAACAUGGAGCAGAACUCUUUGGAUCAUCACAGACAUGGCAUACAAGGCUUGCUGCCUGGACUGAGUGAGGAACGGGAGGUGCUCUUCAGAGACUGCCUUGAAAAGUCUUGGGGAAGAGACAGACUCCAUCCCAAUACAUUCAUCUCGGCUAUAUAUUUUUGAAGACAACUUGUUUUAAUUAUUUACAGUUCUGAAGAUCGAACUCGGGACCUUGUGCUUGCAAGGCAGGAAAUGGCAUUACUCAGCUAAAUCUCCGCCCCAAUGAUGCUUUUCUUAAAAUGAGAACAAAUCCAAAUCUCAAGGUCUUAUCUUGUACUGAGACCAGUUUUUACAUUUCAAUGACCUAAGGACCUGGAAUGUUAAUGAUCUUACUGAACUGCUCCUGAAGAAUCCCCAUCAAUGGACCUGACUUCAGUUGGAUUGAUAGAUUACUUCUCACCACUCAGAAAGUUCACAGUAAAUCCACUUCAGAGAGGAAGGCUGGGGAAAACCCACCGAUGGGCCUCGAAAGCUGAGCGAUUCCUGAUAUGACGCACCGAGCUGCAGCAGUGCCACAAGAGCAUAACUGAAUCGCAUCCUGAGGAAACACCAGUCAAACUGAACUUAGGGACAUUCAGCGACGGUCCCGAGCCCUUCAAAGAUCUCCGUGUCACAAAACGCAGAGUCCCGGGAUCUGUUCCUAAUUAAAAGAUACUAACAAAACAGAACAACUGGCAGGAUUUUCUCUUGCUACGAGGACAUUUUGGGACAAACAACUGGGAAAUCUGAGCAAAAUGUGUAGAGUAUUUUAUGGCUGUUAAUUUCCUGAUUUCAGUGAUUGGACUGGGACGAGGCAAGAGAUUUCUUCAUGUUAGGAGACACACGCAGAAGGAGUUAGUGUAAAGGUGCAUCUGAUCCUCAUUGGACAAAUGGCUCAGACAAAAAAAAAAAAAAAUCUGGGAAGUGCCAAAUAAGGACUUCCUGUGUUUCCUUAUUUAUCUGCCGCUCAGUGGGCUUUGUGCAAAGGAUGGGUGGGAGUGAGGAGCAGCCUCCACACAGCUGUUCAGGGAUGUCUGCAAAAGCAGCCCACCCACAUUGCUUUUGGACACUGGGUGUGAUUUGGAGGGUAUCAGGUUUGUCUGUGAGGGAAACUGCCAGCCUCCUCCCUGGCCAAUUGGUUUCUGUGUUUCCUUGCUGGCCCUCUGAAUAGAAAAGUCCUUUUCCUCAGGAUAUCCCCCAGAAGCAUCUUUUUCUUCACAGUGGAAUCUAAGACAUUAGUUUAACUACAGUUUUCUCUUUGAUGAAUUCUAGGACCUGCAAAAAUGUAGAGGUUAAAUCUGAUGAACCACAUGGCUAAGCUUGCGAUGUAUUUGCUUUUUCAUUGAAUUAAAACAAAAAAUUGGUUGCUUUCCAGUACGCUUAAUUUCCAGACCCAGCUUUCUUCCUAUUUGUCAGGCUGUAGGAAAUAUUAUACUUACCGAACACAAAGUUGGAAGAAUUAGUUGGAUCCCCCCACCCCCCGCCCACUCACACACCAAAGCCAAGCUUUGGUUUCCUCUUCUAUAAAGAAGAGAUUGGUAGAACUAAGGUUAUGGACAGAAAAGUACUACAUAACUAAAAAUUAUCAAGCUUUUCAGUUCCUUCAAUUUUGGAGACAUUUGUAUAUUGAUUCUACCAAGUUGUAUGCUAGAAGGUUCUCUCCUAAUUCUCCUAUUUAAAAAAAGUGGUACAGGUCAGGAUGACCUGCUGAGGGCAGAGCCUGAGGUUCAGCCACCUGACACAAAGGAAUUCGGCUUCUCUGACAAUGCAGUGCUCACACACACACAGCCUGGCAGAGCUCUAGGGAACACGCAAGAUCAAAUGAUUCAAGACUUGCAUGGCAACAUCUGUGGUUCCCCAUUGCCCAUCACCUACCACUUUUUUCUUGGCUAACAGAACCUCUAUUUUCAUUUGAAAGCUCUUUCUGCAGUCAAGGUGAAGGUAUCAGUCAAGGUGUUCGGGCUCUUCCUGACCCAACAUGGCAUCUCUCCUAUGGGAAUUUGAAUCUUAAACUCAGUGACUCAAGUAUAAACAAUCUGUGGGAACUGAGUUAUUCUCACUGGCACUGUGAACUAAAUCUGUGUUCAUUACUAUUAAUGAGGUCUCUACAACUAUCCUGGUUCUGGCCCUUUAUAAUACCUAAUUAUCAAUGUUUUCUUACACUCUGAAUUUUCAUGUUUCUUUUUACCUGUUUUCACAGUGUUGGUUUUAGCUAAGCAAAGUUAGUUUCUAUUGCUUACACAGAAAAAGUUCUAACUGAUACAUCUUUGCUCUUUAAAAAUAAAGAAUCUAAUUUUCAAAGAGAGUAGACUACUUGAUUAGGGUCUGAAAGUAAAUUAGGACCAGAACCCAGGCAAACACAGAUUAGCCAACUUCUUUCCACUAGGAACAUAACCUAUCUCCUUUAGAGUUAUAGUAUUCUUGCAAGGAAGGAUCUACUACAUUUCUAGAUAACUCAAAUGGACCAAGAGCAAGUUCAGGGCUGUAUUAUCACUGAGCUUUUAAAAAGCCUACUGGACUCUAGUUAUAGCCAUAAUUGAGUAUGUAAGACUAUAAUUUGUUCUUCAUUGUCCAAAAAAAGAACACUAGUCAUUAUAUGCAAAUUAUAC
This 2742-nucleotide long non-coding RNA is filed under the name Heterocephalus glaber (naked mole-rat). RNAcentral describes it as "lncRNA (ENSHGLG00100035365.1)". Lineage: Eukaryota; Metazoa; Chordata; Mammalia; Rodentia; Bathyergidae. The record is from RNAcentral.